GACGUAGGAUGCGAGCGUUGUCCGGAUUCAUUGGGCGUAAAGGGUGCGUAGGUGGCGUGGUAAGUCGGGUGUGAAAUUUCGGAGCUUAACUCCGAAACUGCAUUCGAUACUGCCGUGCUUGAGGACUGGAGAGGAGACUGGAAUUUACGGUGUAGCAGUGAAAUGCGUAGAGAUCGUAAGGAAGACCAGUGGCGAAGGCGGGUCUCUGGACAGUUCCUGACACUGAGGCACGAAGGCCAGGGGAGCAAACGGG
RNAcentral lists this ribosomal RNA (253 nucleotides) under uncultured bacterium. RNAcentral describes it as "partial 16S ribosomal RNA". It matches the Rfam family "Bacterial small subunit ribosomal RNA", at positions 524 to 776 of the family's 1533-position model. The record is from RNAcentral.